GCUUCGAUCUUCUUCGCUCCGUCUUCGUCUACGCAGGUUUCAGCUUUCUCGACUACUUCAGUCACCUCCUUCACCGGUUCCGGUACCUCGGCUGCUGGUGCUAGUGGAGCCGGGGUGAUCUUCUCUUCUUCUUUGCACUCGGCCGCAGGUUCCGAUGUCUCCGCGGUCGGUGGAACGGCCUUCUCUUCCUUACUCUCAACCACAACCGUCUCCGGCUCUGGUGUAGAUUCUUCCUUCGCAGCCGUCUCAUCACAAGCCUUAGCUUCUUCUUCAACGGCCUUCGCAGCUUUCUCCUCUGCCGGCUUCUCCUCCUUAACAGGUGCCGGAGGAGCGGUAAACUCAUGCUUGUUAAGCGCCUCCUGAACCAACUGUUUCAGUUCAUCCAACGCCUUCUUCUGUGGAUCAGGAAGCUCACCGGCAACAUUAGAUUCCUCCUUGAACGAAGCCGAUUCAGUAAUCUUCUCCUUCUCCUCUUCCACAACUUUCACAGGCUCCUCGACCACAGCCUCAGGUUCCGGUGGCCCAUCUUUCUCAUAAACGACAGUUGCUUCAGCCUUCUCCGCCUCUGGAACAACAGCAACUUCAGCAGCCGCUACCGGAGCCUCCGAUGCUGCCGCCGCCGUCUUCAAAAUCUCUUCCGCCAUGUAUAACAACAACUA
Molecule: long non-coding RNA, 659 nt
Filed under: Lactuca sativa (garden lettuce)
Lineage: Eukaryota; Viridiplantae; Streptophyta; Magnoliopsida; Asterales; Asteraceae
Description: long non-coding RNA (LSAT_LNC000118)
Source: RNAcentral